AUUAAUUAAUUAAUUAGGUACCAAUUUUUUGGGCGUUAUGAGGGUGCUAAUCCUUCCUCAUACGUAAUCGACUCCCGGACCCGUUUUUCUAAAAUUCGUAGACCAAAGUCGUUUUUAGGUGACCCAAUCACACCUUAAUAAAAGAUUGGUGGCGACUCCCAAUUUUCAUUUUUUAAAGUCGACAACCUACAAUUUUUGUUUUUCAAAAAAAUAGUUUCGACAACUAGCAUUCAUGUUAUUUUUUAAUUACUAAAUAAUAUUAGGAUGCUUCUUUUCGGG
Molecule: long non-coding RNA, 279 nt
Filed under: Gossypium barbadense (sea-island cotton)
Lineage: Eukaryota; Viridiplantae; Streptophyta; Magnoliopsida; Malvales; Malvaceae
Description: long non-coding RNA (GBAR_LNC017883)
Source: RNAcentral